Molecule: ribosomal RNA, 482 nt
Filed under: uncultured Actinomycetes bacterium
Lineage: Bacteria; Bacillati; Actinomycetota; Actinomycetes
Description: bacterial SSU rRNA
Rfam family: Bacterial small subunit ribosomal RNA
Source: RNAcentral
GGCCUAUCAGCUUGUUGGUGGGGUAGUGGCCUACCAAGGCGACGACGGGUAGCCGGCCUGAGAGGGUGACCGGCCACACUGGGACUGAGACACGGCCCAGACUCCUACGGGAGGCAGCAGUGGGGAAUAUUGCGCAAUGGGCGGAAGCCUGACGCAGCGACGCCGCGUGGGGGAUGACGGCCUUCGGGUCGUAAACCCCUUUCAGCAGGGACGAAGAUGACGGUACCUGCAGAAGAAGCCCCGGCCAUACUACGUGCCAGCAGCCGCGGUAAGACGUAGGGGGCGAGCGUUGUCCGGAAUUAUUGGGCGUAAAGGGCUCGUAGGCGGUUCGGUAAGUCGGAUGUGAAAACUCAGGGCUCAACCCUGAGACGCCAUCUGAUACUGCUGUGACUCGAGUUCGGUAGAGGAGUGUGGAAUUCCUGGUGUAGCGGUGAAAUGCGCAGAUAUCAUGAGGAACACCUAUGGCGAAGGCAGCACUCUGG